Molecule: RNA transcript, 1877 nt
Organism: Lolium rigidum
Lineage: Eukaryota; Viridiplantae; Streptophyta; Magnoliopsida; Poales; Poaceae
Exons: 5
Source: RefSeq, a predicted model, not a curated record
CCCUCCCUCUCUAGCUCCUCACCCCUGGCGGCGCUCCCUCUCCUCUCACCGGCCUAUGGCGUCCCAAGCCCUCGCCGCCGUCUACUCCUUUCUUCUGGAGCCUUCAUUCAGGCAUAGAGGCAGAGAGCCGGAGGACGCGGCCAUUGUCCUCGCCCCUAGGCACCCGCGCUGCAGGGACGAGUGUGGAGGCUGCAGCGCUCUGCCUCCCCGCCCUACUGGCCUACUGCUCCACCACGGAGCCCCCUUCUCCACAUCGUCCCCCAUCGCUUUUCCUCUCGCCCUCCAGGGCGCUCGACAGGUGGAGCGCAAUUACCGUCCAUCGAGCGAGGGAUGACCGCCAGUCUGCACAAGAGACGGGUGGGGACUUCCAUUGGAUGGUUGCUCAGGGUAUUGCAACUGAGCUGUUGUUGUACUUGAUGUUGCUUCCACCAGCUGAGCGGCGAAGCGAAGUUGAUGCAGCUGAUAAUAUUGGAGCUACUGUGAGGAGGUACUGGGCUGGCCAUGCCUCCAUUAUCCAGCGUUCAUGUUUCAGAUUUGUUCCAGUAGCAUGUGAAGUUUGGAUUUAUUUAUUGAAGCUAGAAUAUCAGUGCUUAGCUUUUAUUCCCUACCGUCUGCUAGCUAGAUUAGAAGAAAUAGAUAGAAAAUAAGCAAAUGUAUUUCAUAUAUGGAAACAGUAGCACCAAUUUCCUCAGUACUACUUUAUUAAAAUGCGCAAUUGAAAUUGCCACACAUUUUGUGCAGGCGAGUUAACCAAUGUUUUCCAUUCCAUAUUCAUAAUUGGGAACUAUUACAGAUUUAUAAACAACCUUGGUUGGUGUAUUCUAUUUCAUGACUUAUUUGCAAUUUUGUAAUUAUUUUUGACUGCCAUGACCACUAACGUGCUUUCUUUGUAAUUGUAGCAAUAGGUAGUUGUAGUGCUUUGAUUGAUCGUAAUUGCAGGAUAAAUGCCAGGUUCUUUGUUUCUCUCUUGGUUCUAGGUCGCUCAUUCUUGCUCUUAUAUCUGGUUUCAUGGUUGUGUGAGAUUUGGAAGAUUGAAAUCUAUGAAUGGUUUCAGGAGAUGGACCUGCUGUUGGAUCACGUAGAGGUUUUUAAUCCUAUUUGUGAAAUUUGCAGUAGGACUUGGUUAGAAUAUUUGAAAAUGGAACGAAACUACCAAUAUUGCCUUAGUUGCUGCAGGGGUGUUAGGUCUCUGGUCAUUGUUCCUUUUGAACUGAAUCAUAGAGAGAUUGAAGCAUUGCAUGUAUUCAUUGUUCCAAUACUUGUUGAGACAAUUGAUGAAGCAUAUCCAGUCGUACAUCUUUGAUGAUAAGUUAUCAAUUUCGAGACAUGUUGUGUAUAUUGUUCCUUUAAAGCCCAUGGUGUUGUUUCUUACCUGAUAAUGGUGGUUCAAACCUUAGUUUCGACAGUGAAUCUUUAGUCUUCUUUUAGCAAAAGAAUGGCGUUGAAAAAUAUAUGCCCGAGGAGUUUGAAAAGGCCACAGGAACAAGUCGUAGCUUCGAUGCCUAUGGCAGGUUCAGGCCACUGAUGACUUAUGUACUCAUGGCUGGAUUCUCAGGAAGGAUGCCUACACUUCAGUCUAUUCUCUGCUGCCACACCUGCAGAUCAUGAAAGGGGCAUUGACCCUUGCAGCCAUCUUAGAUUUGUUGCUUCCCCCCUACAACUUUGGGGAGUGGCGAUCUAGGAGAUACUCUCUGUGACGGACAGUAGUUGAUGUCACCUCCAUAGUGAUGCAUUCAACCUCCCGUUGUUCACGAUUACUUGAUUAUUCUGUCCAACUUUUGACGUGUGUAAAAAAUCAGAUAAGUUGUGUGUUGAUUAAUUCAAGCUAAGAUCUAGCCUUGUUUGUAAAAUAAAUCUGUUUACGCAUCAAUAUUAUU